UACGGAAGGUCCGAGCGUUAUCCGGAUUUAUUGGGUUUAAAGGGAGCGUAGGCCGGAGAUUAAGCGUGUUGUGAAAUGUAGAUGCUCAACAUCUGCACUGCAGCGCGAACUGGUUUCCUUGAGUACGCACAAAGUGGGCGGAAUUCGUGGUGUAGCGGUGAAAUGCUUAGAUAUCACGAAGAACUCCGAUUGCGAAGGCAGCUCACUGGAGCGCAACUGACGCUGAAGCUCGAAAGUGCGGGUAUCGAACAGG
Molecule: ribosomal RNA, 253 nt
Filed under: Segatella copri DSM 18205
Lineage: Bacteria; Pseudomonadati; Bacteroidota; Bacteroidia; Bacteroidales; Prevotellaceae
Description: Prevotella copri DSM 18205 partial 16S ribosomal RNA
Rfam family: Bacterial small subunit ribosomal RNA
Source: RNAcentral